Molecule: ribosomal RNA, 250 nt
Filed under: uncultured bacterium
Lineage: Bacteria
Description: partial 16S ribosomal RNA
Rfam family: Bacterial small subunit ribosomal RNA
Source: RNAcentral
UACGGGGGGGGCAAGCGUUGUUCGGAAUUACUGGGCGUAAAGGGUCUGUAGGUGGCUUGCUAAGUCAGACGUGAAAUCCCUCAGCUUAACUGGGGAACUGCGUCUGAGACUGGCGAGCUUGAGGGCAGGAGAGGAACGCGGAAUUCCAGGUGUAGCGGUGAAAUGCGUAGAUAUCUGGAGGAACACCGGUGGCGAAGGCGGCGUUCUGGACUGCAUCUGACACUGAGAGACGAAAGCCAGGGGAGCAAAC